Molecule: non-coding RNA, 45 nt
Organism: Schistosoma curassoni
Lineage: Eukaryota; Metazoa; Platyhelminthes; Trematoda; Strigeidida; Schistosomatidae
Source: Rfam
AUUCUGAUGAUGAAUUCGAAAUAGGACGAAACGCACGUCCUGGAU